Molecule: ribosomal RNA, 384 nt
Filed under: uncultured bacterium
Lineage: Bacteria
Description: bacterial SSU rRNA
Rfam family: Bacterial small subunit ribosomal RNA
Source: RNAcentral
CUUACCUGGGUUUGACCUGGAUCGGGAGUGCUCAGAGAUGGGUGUGCCUCUUUUGGGGUCGGUUCACAGGUGGUGCAUGGCUGUCGUCAGCUCGUGUCGUGAGAUGUUGGGUUAAGUCCCGCAACGAGCGCAACCCUUGUUCACUGUUGCCAGCACGUUAUGGUGGGGACUCAGUGGAGACCGCCGGGGUCAACUCGGAGGAAGGUGGGGAUGACGUCAAGUCAUCAUGCCCCUUAUGUCCAGGGCUUCACGCAUGCUACAAUGGCUGGUACAGAGAGUGGCGAGCCUGUGAGGGUGAGCGAAUCUCGGAAAGCCGGUCUCAGUUCGGAUUGGGGUUUGCAACUCGACCUCAUGAAGUUGGAGUCGCUAGUAAUUGCAGAUCAG